RNAcentral lists this long non-coding RNA (498 nucleotides) under Neogale vison (American mink). RNAcentral's name for it is "Neovison vison (American mink) lncRNA (ENSNVIG00000002728.1)". Lineage: Eukaryota; Metazoa; Chordata; Mammalia; Carnivora; Mustelidae. The record is from RNAcentral.
AACGGGCCGGGACUGCGUGUGCCCUCGGGAGGCGUCCGUGCGGGGCGUCCCGCCCUGGGGCAGCGGCUGGGAUCGUCGGGGUGGCUGCUCAUUGCCUAACAGAACUUCGUCAAGCAUGGGACAUGUGUUAUCUCUGCCUAAGAAGACAUGGCUGCUGUCCCCACUCUGCAGAUGAGCAAAUUGAGGCUCCCAGAGAAAAUUACUGGCAUUACUUUGUACCCUUAAUUUGGUACCAGGAAAGAUGGGAAAAGAUGAUGAACAUUUUAGAAGCUGGUUUCUCCCCACUGUGGAAGGGGUUGGAUGAUGUACCUCGCUCUCUGGGACACCCCACUUGGCUGUAAUCUCAGGAAGGCCUCUUAAACCCCGGCUCAUCCCGCAGCCACUUCUGGAAGCUACUUGAGAGGAAAAAAAAAAAAUGAUGUGACAGGUCCUCUCAGGAAGGAUUUUCAGAAACCCAGCAUCCGCAGAAGAAAGUGGCCCAUUUCCCUUUUGCAAAGU